AGGAAGUAAUUAAUAAAUAAACCUACUUGAUUUGGCGGCAUUUCAUCUAUUUAGAGGAACUUGUCAAUUAAUCGACAACCCACGAUAAAUUUCACUUUAAUUAAAAAACCUAUAUACCGCCGUCUAAAGAAUUAAUAUCAAUAUUAUAUUCUAAAUAAUAAAUAAAAAGAUUAGGUCAAGGUGUAGUCUAUAUUAAAGAAAAUGAUGAGUUACUUUAAAAAUUAUUUAAGAAAUAAGCAUUAAUAACUCUUAAGAAAAAGGAUUUAAAAGUAUUAUAUUAAUAAUAAUAAUAUUUGAUAAAGAUAAUAAAUGUGC
RNAcentral lists this ribosomal RNA (315 nucleotides) under Micaria sp. NP17. Its description in RNAcentral is "partial 12S ribosomal RNA". The record is from RNAcentral. Lineage: Eukaryota; Metazoa; Arthropoda; Arachnida; Araneae; Gnaphosidae.